Brienomyrus brachyistius is the source of this 2388-nucleotide long non-coding RNA. RefSeq lists it as uncharacterized. The transcript has 3 exons. Lineage: Eukaryota; Metazoa; Chordata; Actinopteri; Osteoglossiformes; Mormyridae. The record is from RefSeq and is a predicted model, not a curated record.
CCUUACCAGACAACUGAAAUAUAGUACGGCCGGACUGGGCGACGAUCUGCGCACAACGAAGCCGAUCGCCAGAAACAAAGAGUAAACCAGGGCUGACAUCCGCGUUAGCUGGUGACAGGUACAGAUACACAAGAAGAAGCUUUGCCCAACCUUCCAGAGAUUCCGUCCUCCUCCUCCUCCGAAUUGAUCUGCUUUCGGGUGGCAAAAGGGAAAAAAGCUGGACAACACUUAACAGACUGGAAAAAGCGGGCAGCAUCUGACAUCCACGACCUCCAAUGAGAGAUGCAAAGGAGAAGAAAAAAAGCAGAGGAGUAUGAAGUCACUCCCAGAACUGCUUUAGCAGCGAUAACAGGAUGCAGAGGCAGACGGAGGAGGGGCUUCCAGGGGUGCUGUCCUGAGCUGUGGGGAGCCUGCAACCUGCUCUUUCUGGAUCUUAGCCCCCUGCAUGGGUGUCUAAUGCAGCAGAUGGCCCCGGGAGAGACAAGUCACAGAUAAGUGAAAAUUCAGUGAAACCAGGCUGAUUAAGGCAAAUAUUUUUAUAUUCUCUGAUCCUAUAGUAUCUACCAUGCUUUUAUAUUCUUUUAUUUUUAAUAUACUGUAGCAAGCACAAAUAUGUUUUUCUUCCAUAUAUAAACAAUUGUAUUUUCAAAGCCUCCUUCUAAAGACACUUAUUUUUUAUUUUCCACAGCUGAAGAUCUGUGCUUAUAAACUUCGACACAAUUUUGAUCUUAUUCUAGAUAAUUGGAUUAUUGUUUUUAAAAAAAAUCAGCUAUUUAGAGUAAGCACACUUGUUACAGCAUGUUGAUCUGGGCUCACCGGGGGCCUGAAUAAUACUGUUAUUGCAGAUGGUGUGCAGGCAAAUCCAGGUUAUGUUUUAAUAAGGUGACCCUGACUUAAAAACUGAAAUCGUUCUUCAGUGAGGGAAAAGCUUGGCUAUACUGUGACUUCUACAUAACAGAACUGACAGCUUAGCAUUAAUGGAAUCUUAUCAUAGUUGGGAAGCUAUUGGAGAAUCCUUGUUGUGCUUCAGGGAGGAGGGAUGUGUGUGGAUGUGGAGGGGCAUUAAAAUGCUGAGAGAGUAUGGAGACAAUGGCAGCUGGAGCCCCUUGUUUACUUGGUGCAGAAUGAGAUCUUCUCUGGAAGUCUCUCCACCUGGCUUUACAAAGAGUACAUAGGAAGUCACGGUCAAUCGUGGGACUCUGCCUCACCAAUCACUCCUAUGGUUUCAGAUCCCGCUCGCGCUAAAAGGCACGGUUCGCUUCUGUCGACUUCUGUCUGUCGGAGGGAGCUGUGGCAGGGACAGAUGGCGACUUCAGAUAGGGCUCCGCUGGUUCUCGCCGAGCAGUCACUUGAGCUGCGUGUGAAUGCGUUUUGUUUAUUUAUUCAUUUCUUCAUUUAUUUAUGAUUUCAGUCCUUGUGUGUGGGCAAACAGGCAAGCAGAGAACAAUAAAAAAAGGAGCGACACAUGCAGUUCCACAUAACAUCCUUGCACUUGCACACCCCACUGUUGUUGACUGACACAUAAUAGCACAUUACGUCAGCUCAAUAUAUCAUUACCUUACUAAUAUAAAUCGUGUAAUGUGGUCCUGGGAACAGGUUUAUGAGGAAAAAAGGAAAGUCCCUCAUUGGAUAUCUCAUUGGUUUUGUGAAAGUGACAUACACGUAUAACUAGAUAGCAAUCUCAGAGUCCUCUAGGUCAGUGUUUCCCAACCCGGUCCAGAUUUUUGCUCCCUGCCAGACAGUUCACAUUUUUGCUCCCCUACUAGGAGCUGGAAGGGAGCAAAAAUGUGGACUGUCUGGGGGUCCCCACAGACCAGGUUGGGAAACACUGCUCUAGAUGAGCCGUAGACUUUUAACAGUAGGCAGGUUGUUUGUUAUUUUUGUCCACUUACAUGCUUGCUCUGAGUGCUAACGUUGCAGUGGCAUUUGGGGAAUUCCUCAGUAUGUGACCUGUCCAGCCUUUGUGAGGACAAUAGGCUCUGGAUCCUGGAUCCUCAGGAGAGGGUCACCUGUGGUUCAGCUGCUGCCCUGUAACCUUCCCUUAGAGCCCUGUAAUCCUACACCGUGUGCAGGUCAGAACAACACAACAACCUUCCCUACUCUCUCUUUUACUUUUUUUUAUCUUCUUACCUUCUUACCACCACCGAUACACACACACUCAUUUGCAUUGCAUCUCUCAGGGCAGUCGUACUUUUUUAAGUGUAAUAAAGACGUGAAAUUUCAUAGGCUGACUGGUGAUGACUGUUUACUAGAAUGUGCCCCAUUAUGUUAAGUGCAUAAAAGUCAAGUAAGCUAAGAGCACGGGUUUCCAGUUGCUUUAUUGGAGCUGCAAAGUGAUGUAUGUGUGCUGAAAUGUACGGGGGUGUAGACAGAACCCCCCCCCCCCCC